UCUAACCCCCUUACGCAUCACAUGGUGUCGCCCGUAUGACUCACAAUUAAAAAAGAGCGAACUGGUAGCCUAGUCUACUUUCAAUUUUUCGGAGGAAUGAUAAUACUUUAGUUUCUCAUCCGCUUUUUGGAGGGGAGGGGAGGUGUGAACAUUGUUCCGAGGAUGUUAUAUGUUUUGUUAUUGUGCUUACAGGUUAAUGGUAGGACGGAAUACACACUCGGUUAAAUUUGACACGGCCUCCCCUUAAAAGCGAAAGGACCAACACACGCGCGCUCGGCUCGCAGAGCAACGGAGGAAAACUCCUGAUGCAAAAUGGAAACUGUGUCAACGGGUAAACACAGGCUCUCGGUGCACGAGGGCAUACGAGUUCAUGGCAGCGCUCAAUUCUAGUGGUCGAGUUCGUUUUGCAAGUCCCGGUGCCCCGGUUUGCAGGAUUUUGCUUAUUUUAGACCACUCUCUUGGUCCUUAGGUGACGUCUUCAUUCAACCGGGGCAACGGACCAUGCAAAACGAACUCGCCUAGUGAAAACGGAUAUGGCUGGCGUAACGUCAGAGCUGGGGCGGGUUCAUGUGAACCAUCUUUAGGACACGGUGAAGAAUGAGGGCCUGAACCCGGUGAACCGCACGACUACUUACUGUACCGAGGGCUCUAGCCUGCUUCCUGCUGCGCCGCUCUAUAGGCAGAUAAUUACAUUAAAUCCGAGAAUAUAGAGGACCUGAGCCGUAGGACCAUGCCUCAGGACUACCUGGCAUGAUGACUCCUUGAUGUCCCCAGUCCACCUGGCCGUGCUGCUGCUCCAGUUUCAACUGUUCUGCCUGCGGCUAUGGAACCCUGACCUGUUCACUGGACGUGCUACCUGUACCAGACCUGCUGUUUUCAACUCUCUAGAGACAGUAGGAGCGGUAGAGAUACUCUCAAUGAUCAGCUAUGAAAAGCCAACUGACAUUUACUCUUGAGGUGCUGACUUGCUGCACCCUCGACAACUACUGUGAUUAUUAUUAUUUGACCAUGCUGGUCAUUUAUGAACAUUUGAACAUCUUGGCCAUGUUCUGUUAUAAUCGCCACCCGGCACAGCCAGAAGAGGACUGGCCACCCCUCAUAGCCUGGUUCCUCUCUAGGUUUCUUCCUGGGUUUUGGCCUUUCUAGGGAGUUUUUCCUAGCCACCGUGCUUCUACACCUGCAUUGCUUGCUGUUUGGGGUUUUAGGCUGGGUUUCUGUACAACACUUUGUGGCACCAGCUGAUGUAAGAAGAGCUAUAUAAAUACAUUUGAUUUGAUUUUAAUCCAAUCACUGAACAAGCCUGUCAGAACCAUAAAUAUUCUAGAGUGUGUAGGUCUGUGUUCUGAUUCUAUCUCUAUGGCCAGAACUGUGGAACAUGGUAACUAUGAGACACCAAGGCCAUUUCAUUCUGUUGAAAACAAUAGUCAUAGCCCAGGUGGAUCGUUGUUAAAAAUGAAAGUGUGUGUGUGUGUGUGUUUGAGAUUGUUGAAGGCCAAAUAGGAAUUUAAAAGUGAAAGCUUUCCUCCACUGUCUACAGUUCAUCUCAUAUAGUCCUGUAUCUUCUUCAGUCAUCAUUGUCUGUAGGGUGCCAUUUGGGAUACACCGAUUUUACAUCACCUUCACAGCAGCAGCAGGCCCAUAAUGUUGGGUAAUCACAACUGUCUGAUCCUAGAUGAUGAAUGAUGUCUGUAAUUUUAUGUAACCCUGUAAUCCCUAAUCCGCUGGUUGCACACAUGGCUCAAUUGUUUUUUUCCCCUCUAUAGCCGUAAGGCUAGAGGUUUCCUUUAGCUAUAGCCUUAACGCCCAUUCUAACUGUCUAAACGUCCCUUUAAACUCCAUUCUAACUGUGUAAAUGUCAGCUUUAACUGUACAAACCACCAUUCUAACUGUGUAAAUGUCAGCUUUAACUGUACAAACGUCCAUUUAACUGUCUAAACGUCCCUUUAAACUCCAUUCUAACUGUGUAAAUGUCAACUUUAACUGUACAAACCUCCAUUCUAACUGUGUAAAUGUCAACUUUAACUGUACAAACCUCCAUUCUAACUGUGUAAAUGUCAACUUUAACUGUACAAACCUUCAUUCUAACUGUGUAAAUGAAUGGUAAAGAACAGUGCUCAUAA
Long non-coding RNA from Oncorhynchus nerka (sockeye salmon), 2120 nucleotides. RefSeq lists it as uncharacterized. NCBI's taxonomy places the organism in Eukaryota, Metazoa, Chordata, Actinopteri, Salmoniformes, Salmonidae. The record is from RefSeq and is a predicted model, not a curated record. The transcript has 2 exons.